This 306-nucleotide unclassified non-coding RNA is filed under the name plant metagenome. Its description in RNAcentral is "partial contains 5.8S ribosomal RNA, internal transcribed spacer 2, and large subunit ribosomal RNA". The stretch from base 1 to 105 matches the Rfam family "5.8S ribosomal RNA", at positions 50 to 154 of the family's 154-position model. The record is from RNAcentral.
GAAAUGCGAUAAGUAAUGUGAAUUGCAGAAUUCAGUGAAUCAUCGAAUCUUUGAACGCACAUUGCGCCCGCCAGCACUCUGGCGGGCAUGCCUGUUCGAGCUUCAUUUCAACCCUCAGAACCCCUUGCGGGAUCUGGCGUUGGGGAUUGGCAUCCAGCCAGCCCCGAAAUCUAGUGGCGGUCCCUCCGCGACCUCCCCUGUGCAGUAGCGAUACCUCGCAGCGGGACAGCGGUCUGACCACGCCGUAAAACCCCCAACUUCUCAAGGUUGACCUCGAAUCAGGUAGGAAUACCCGCUGAACUAAGC